GUGAUACGACGCUAGAUAAAAAAAAAAACGACGACGAAAGGUAACACCCGGCCACCGAAAGCUUAGUUAUAGUGGAGCUUAGGUUGUAGAGUGGUCUAACGCGUCGGACACAAGGCAAGGCGAUUUGGUUCCGCCAUAACUCAGUAGUAUAAUUCGAAUCCCUGCCAGCGACGAACACAAAAAAAAUAAUUUCUUCCACCAAUUUACAGAUUUAACAAUGUUGGGCUGAUGUUAAGACGAAUUAUAUAUAUUUAUCUAUAUACACUUUUUCUUAUUUUCCUGUAUUAUUUUCAUUUAUAUUAAUCUAUAAUAUAUAUUUCACGAC
This 325-nucleotide long non-coding RNA is filed under the name Mytilus galloprovincialis (Mediterranean mussel). The record is from RNAcentral. Lineage: Eukaryota; Metazoa; Mollusca; Bivalvia; Mytilida; Mytilidae.